Molecule: ribosomal RNA, 477 nt
Filed under: uncultured bacterium
Lineage: Bacteria
Description: partial 16S ribosomal RNA
Rfam family: Bacterial small subunit ribosomal RNA
Source: RNAcentral
GACGAACGCUGGCGGCGUGCCUAACACAUGCAAGUCGAGCGAAAAGACGCUGAGCUUGCUCCUUGCUCGUUAGCGGCGGACGGGUGAGUAACACGUGGAUCACCUACCUAUCAGUCUGGUAUCAUUUCGGGACACCGGAUCUAAUCCCAGAUAAUAUAUUGAACCGCAUGGUUCGAUAGUGAAAGUCGGCUUUGCGGGCGGUUGGGGCGGGUUCCGCGCCGUUUGGGCUGGUAGGUGGGGACCAGGCUUACCAAGGCAACGACGGGUAGCCGGCAUGAGAGGGUGACCGGCCACAUUGGGACUGAGAUACGGCCCAGACUCCUACGGGAGGCAGCAGUGGGGAAUAUUGCACAAUGGGCGGAAGCCUGAUGCAGCAACGCCGCGUGCGGGAUGACGGCCUUCGGGUUGUAAACCGCUUUCGCCUGUGACGAAGCGUGAGUGACGGUAAUGGGUAAAGAAGCACCGGCUAACUACGUG